GACGAACGCUGGCGGCGUGCUUAACACAUGCAAGUCGAACGGAAAGGCCCCCAUCUUGGUGGGGGUGCGCGAGGGGCGAACGGGUGAGUAACACGUGGAUGAUCUGCCCUGUUCUUCGGGAUCAGCUUGGGAAACUGGGUAUAAUCCCGGAUAGGAUCAUGGUUCAGUGUCUCAUGGUGGAAAGUUUAUUGUUUUGGUGUAGGAUGAGCUCGUGGCAUUUGAGUUGGUUGGUGGGGGAUUGCCCUAGCAAGGCGGGGUAGGGUAGCCGGCCUGGGAGGGGGGACGGGGACAGUGGGACGGAGAUACGGCCCAGACUCCAACGGCAGGCAGCAGAGGGGAGGAUGGCAGAGUGAGCGUAAGCCUGAGGCAGCGACGCCGCGUGGGGGAUGACGGCCUUCGGAUGGUGAACUCCUGUCGGUAGGGACGAUGCCACGCUUAUUGGGUGUGGGUGCGGGUACUUGGUUAAGAAGCACCGGCUAACUACGUG
Molecule: ribosomal RNA, 487 nt
Filed under: uncultured bacterium
Lineage: Bacteria
Description: partial 16S ribosomal RNA
Rfam family: Bacterial small subunit ribosomal RNA
Source: RNAcentral